This 253-nucleotide ribosomal RNA is filed under the name uncultured bacterium. RNAcentral describes it as "partial 16S ribosomal RNA". It matches the Rfam family "Bacterial small subunit ribosomal RNA", at positions 524 to 776 of the family's 1533-position model. The record is from RNAcentral.
UACGUAGGGCGCAAGCGUUAUCCGGACUUAUUGGGCGUAAAGAGCUCGUAGGCGGUCCGGUAAGUCCGCUGUGAAAGUCGGGGGCUCAACCCUCGAAUGCCGGUGGAUACUGUCGGGCUAGAGUGCGGAAGAGGCGAGUGGAAUUCCUGGUGUAGCGGUGAAAUGCGCAGAUAUCAGGAGGAACACCAAUUGCGAAGGCAGCUCGCUGGGACGUUACUGACGCUGAGACGCGAAAGCGUGGGGAGCAAACAGG